AACGAACGCUGGCGGCAGGCCUAACACAUGCAAGUCGAACGCCCGUAGCAAUACGGGAGUGGCAGACGGGUGAGUAACGCGUGGGAACGUGCCCUUCGGUUCGGAAUAACUCAGGGAAACUUGAGCUAAUACCGGAUACGGUCCGUAAGGAGAAAGAUUUAUCGCCGAAGGAUCGGCCCGCGUCGGAUUAGCUAGUUGGUGAGGUAACGGCCCACCAAGGCGACGAUCCGUAGCUGGUCUGAGAGGANGAUCAGCCACACUGGGACUGAGACACGGCCCAGACUCCUACGGGAGGCAGCAGUGGGGAAUAUUGGACAAUGGGCGGAAAGCCUGAUCCAGCCAUGCCGCGUGAGUGAAGAAGGCCUUAGGGUUGUAAAGCUCUUUCAG
RNAcentral lists this ribosomal RNA (387 nucleotides) under uncultured bacterium. Its description in RNAcentral is "bacterial SSU rRNA". It matches the Rfam family "Bacterial small subunit ribosomal RNA", at positions 29 to 439 of the family's 1533-position model. The record is from RNAcentral.